UGUUCAUAAGAAUUCGCGAUCGAUGUACUGUUCCUAAGGAGGAAGUUAUGGUUUUGCUCUCAAAUACCGCACUCGGUGAUUUUCUUCUCCGCUGGUUCGCUCUAUCCUGAAGCUUCUUUUUUCUGUUUCUUUUUUGGCAUCAUUCUUCCCUCUGUUCUUCCAUUUUAGUCGCGCCCCGAAAUCAAACUCCUUCCCUACGCCCUGCACUUCAAUACAUUUAUUCUUCCUCUCACUCUACCGUCUGCACCGCUUCGUUUCCUAAAGCUUCUUCUCCUUUCUGCUAUUUGUUUUUGGGAACGUUUUUGCUUCUCCGUCCAAUCGAACCGUCAUUCAUUUUAGGGUUUAUUUUAUGGGUUUUUCCCAAAGAUCUUUAUAUUCGCUUCAAAUCACUAUAUUUGGGUCUUCAGGGUUUGUCAUCAUCAGCAAGGAGCCAAGGAGUGAAGGUGAUUCGGGGUUAUUUGGAAUCCCGUAAAUGACUGAUUAAGCUUCUCUCUCUCUCUCUCUCUCUCUCUCUCUCUCUCUCUCUCUGUUGGUCACGGUUACUCAGAUUGCAAGGUAUCUGAUUCCGAUGAUUCACUUACAGGAACUAAAUCUCAAGCAUCGGCUUGCAGUGGCUUGAGCUUUUUUUGAGUUUGAGGGAACGAUUGUGUAAGUAAAGAAUCUUCUCCUGAGACCCAGACAGAAAGGAACAAGGUGAGGGAAGUGGGAAUCUUGACCAAAUAUUUUCUGCGAUCCAAAGGAACUGUUUUGCUAUCGAUUGGAAGAAUUCUGAUAGGGUUGUGAUCGGAACAGUGCUAAACGUUUGUCGGCUCAGAUACGGUUCUCUUCUAAAUUGAUCAUACUCAUUUUCUUGAUCUUUGUUUUCUAUCUAGAGAUUUCUGUUAUAAAGCAUUGGAUCAAGGAGAAUCGUUCUACUCUCUAUCAUGGAUUUGUUACCUGUACGUUUACAUGUAUCUCAUGAAUGUUGUCUACUCUGUAAUUACAUGUAAUCAUGUUAAAUGAAGAGUUCUCAUUUUGUAGAUGAAUUAUAUUAAUUUGUAUUUUUCUUUUCUGCAGGCUUUUGGUUGGGUGAUAAUAAUCAUGACAAAAAGGCCUAUAAAUCAAGGAAUGCCCUUUAUUGAAAUCUAGAAUGUCAUCUCAUGUGGAAGUGAUUAUCUUGACAAAGAGAUUCUUCAUAGUUUCUCAUUUGAGUGAAUUUCAAUGCCUUCAAUAUAUCUCAGGCAUCUAUAGCUCUUAAGCUUGGGAAUUAUUGAAUCAGUCGUACCACUAAUUGAAGUUGAGGUGAAAAAAGAGAAGACAAGAAGGGGAAUUGGUAUACAGAAGUGCAGGUAGAAUUUAUAUAGCAUCAUGUACAAGUUAUACUUAUACCAAGCUAUUUCUGUAUUUCAUCAAGGACAAAAGUUCCUUAUACAUGUACUUCAUUAA
This is a long non-coding RNA of Argentina anserina (silverweed cinquefoil), 1425 nucleotides long. RefSeq lists it as uncharacterized. The transcript has 3 exons. NCBI's taxonomy places the organism in Eukaryota, Viridiplantae, Streptophyta, Magnoliopsida, Rosales, Rosaceae. The record is from RefSeq and is a predicted model, not a curated record.